AAGAGGUUAGUUAAAAACAUAACAUUAAAAUGUCAAAUUAAAAUCACUGAUUUCUCAGUACCCCUUA
RNAcentral lists this transfer RNA (67 nucleotides) under Pseudolestes mirabilis. RNAcentral describes it as "tRNA-Asp". Lineage: Eukaryota; Metazoa; Arthropoda; Insecta; Odonata; Pseudolestidae. The record is from RNAcentral.